GAUGAAGAACGCAGCGAAAUGCGAUAAGUAAUGCGAAUUGCAGAAUUCCGUGAGUCAUCGAAUCUUUGAACGCACAUUGCGCCCUCUGGUAUUCCGGAGGGCAUGCCUGUCUGAGCGUCAUUGUCAACCCUCAAGCUCAGCUUGCUGUUGGGUCCCCGUCGUUGCUUUAACGGCGGACCCGAAAGGUAAUGGCAGAGUCCGUGAGACCCUAGACGCAGCGAGCUUCUAGCACGCGUCUGGACGUUUUUCGGGCUCGGUCUUAACUAGAUGAUAACUUCCGAUUGACCUCAGAUCAGGUAGGACUACCCGCUGAACUUAAGCAUAUCAAUAAGCGGAGGA
Molecule: unclassified non-coding RNA, 339 nt
Filed under: soil metagenome
Description: partial contains 5.8S ribosomal RNA, internal transcribed spacer 2, and large subunit ribosomal RNA
Rfam family: 5.8S ribosomal RNA (bases 1-120)
Source: RNAcentral